This 76-nucleotide transfer RNA is filed under the name Clostridia bacterium. RNAcentral's name for it is "tRNA-Trp". It matches the Rfam family "tRNA". From Rfam's summary of the family: Transfer RNA (tRNA) molecules are approximately 80 nucleotides in length. Their secondary structure includes four short double-helical elements and three loops (D, anti-codon, and T loops). Lineage: Bacteria; Bacillati; Bacillota; Clostridia. The record is from RNAcentral.
AGGGGUAUAGCUCAGCAGGUAGAGCAACGGUCUCCAAAACCGUGUGUCCAGAGUUCGAUUCUUUGUGCCCCUGCCA